Molecule: ribosomal RNA, 272 nt
Filed under: uncultured bacterium
Lineage: Bacteria
Description: partial 16S ribosomal RNA
Rfam family: Bacterial small subunit ribosomal RNA
Source: RNAcentral
UACGUAGGGGCGAGCGUUGUCCGGAAUCAUUGGGCGUAAAGCGCGUGUAGGCGGCCCGAUAAGUCUGCUGUGAAAGUCCAGGGCUCAACCCUGGGCGUGCGGUGGAUACUGCCGGGCUAGAGGGUGGUAGAGGCGAGUGGAAUUCCCGGUGUAGCGGUGAAAUGCGCAGAUAUCGGGAGGAACACCAGUAGCGAAGGCGGCUCGCUGGGCCAUACCUGACGCUGAGAUGCGAAAAGCGUGGGGAGCGAACAGGAUUAGAAACCCCUGGUAGU